GAUUUUGGCACUGCAUCUGCAUGGUAACAAUAAUUAUUGUAUUCUCUUGUUCUUAAUCAGAUGUUGCUUAGUUUUUAUUCUUUCAGAUUUUAAAGAUUUUAUAAAUGUCUUGGUAAUUGCCCUUCAUAAUAAUAGCAACUUUUUCUCCCAUAAUGUUUUUUAAGUAGAGAACCUAAUUCUUAAUUUCUUAUGCACAUAUCAAGUUGACAGGCG
RNAcentral lists this unclassified non-coding RNA (213 nucleotides) under Hevea brasiliensis (rubber tree). Lineage: Eukaryota; Viridiplantae; Streptophyta; Magnoliopsida; Malpighiales; Euphorbiaceae. The record is from RNAcentral.